Pocillopora verrucosa is the source of this 1321-nucleotide long non-coding RNA. RefSeq lists it as uncharacterized. The record is from RefSeq and is a predicted model, not a curated record. NCBI's taxonomy places the organism in Eukaryota, Metazoa, Cnidaria, Anthozoa, Scleractinia, Pocilloporidae.
GUUUUUAUUACACAGUUCAUGCUUUGUUUCUCAAUAGGCGUCUUCAUGAAGAUCUUAAACCCUUACUGAAACAGCAACAUAACGCGACCGAGAUCUCUAAGGAACAUAUAUCCACUAAGAAGCUCAAGGAUUAAACUGAAAUCUGUCGAGGGCCUUGUAUCCAUGGUUUAGUCCUAGACAAGAACCGCUCUCUACUCAGUGAACUCAGCGAUACUACCGAGCUCAUUGGUGCUCAUGCAGUUACUUGGUAUGAACUGAUCGUACAGCCAUCAAAAGAUUAUCACGGAUACCUUUACUGUCAGCCAGGAUUAUCAAGGUCUGGAUCCCUCGGUUAACUACUUUAUUUUCACUAAUACGAUCUCGCCCAACCAAGACAAUAGCGUGCUGUUCAAGGAAUUUCGAGGCCCUAGACAUUCCUUUCGUACAAAGGGGGUGCAAAGACUUCUGGUGAUGAAUUUGCCUUGAUAAUGUUCGUGGAUCUAUGCUUUUCGAGAGCUAUACUAAUAUAAUAGCGACUUUAUAACUAGGGACUGUAUAUUUCAGAGCAUCUGCACGUCUAACAUUAGUUGCAAAGUACUUCAAAGAAAAAGUGGAUUACACAACCACAAUAAUCUGAAAUUAUCUAUUUGCGUCUUAGAGACUAAGCUGUUAACGCAUUGUGCUAUAGAAGCAUGAUAAGGUUCCUCACCGCGCAACAAAGGUUUCAGGUAGUCACUACUUCAUCAGUUUCCUCAACGCCAGUUAAGCGUUGUAAAAGUAUUAUUAUCAAUUCUACAAGUUCUAGAAAUAUCGUGAAGUCUUUAAUAGUUCUCAUCUACAUUCCACAGUAAGUGCAGGUAUUUACUAUUUAUCAAGAAAAAAAAUUUCGUCCCCGUCGUGGUUUCUGCUUUUCAGGACGGGGUUUGAGGGCCCGUACGAUCGUCGCAUGCAGGAGCGAUGUUCAUGUGACGCAGUUACAAAUCUAUGUAGAACAAAUUAAUGGUUUUAUGUUUUAAAAUAGCAAAUCCAUUUUAUUUCUUUCAACAAGUUCGCAGGUUCAAAUGGGAUUCAAACAACUGAAAAGAGAGAUUACUAUCAGUUUUUCAAACAGUGUUUACUAAUUCCUCAUGGAAGGAAUUGAACCUUUGUUAAUAUUCCAUUUAUUACUUUAAGUAAUUACAAUCAACCUUACCAUAGAACAUAUUUAACUAUUACCGAUUUUAAGUGCGUGUCAAACUGUGUCAGUUGUGACCCGACAUACGCACUUAAAUUUGUUUUACAUUUCACAACCCUAUUGGAUAUUAAAAGGGCCUUUAAUUUCCGCCGGACAAAUAAAUCUUUA